UCGCGGCUUAUCACCGGCAGUCUCCUUAGAGUGCUCAACUAAAUGGUAGCAACUAAGGACGGGGGUUGCGCUCGUUGCGGGACUUAACCCAACAUCUCACGACACGAGCUGACGACAGCCAUGCAGCACCUGAACCGAAGGUCCCCGAAGGGAAAACCCCAUCUCUGGAGCGGUCCUCCGUUGUCUAGCCCAGGUAAGGUUCUUCGCGUUGCGUCGAAUUGAACCACAUGCUCCACCGCUUGUGCGGGCCCCCGUCAAUUCCUUUGAGUUUCAACCUUGCAGCCGUACUCCCCAGGCGGCUCAUUUAAUGUGUUAGCUACGGCGCGGAAGGGGUCGAUACCUCCCACACCUAAUGAGCAUCGUUUAGGGCUAGGACUAC
Molecule: unclassified non-coding RNA, 379 nt
Filed under: uncultured bacterium
Lineage: Bacteria
Description: contains 16S-23S intergenic spacer region
Source: RNAcentral